GACGAACGCUGGCGGCGUGCUUAACACAUGCAAGUCGAGCGGUAAGGCCCCUUUUGGGGGGUACACGAGCGGCGAACGGGUGAGUAACACGUGGGUGACCUGCCCUCAGCUCUGGGAUAAGCCUGGGAAACUGGGUCUAAUACUGGAUAUGACUCCACGGUGCAUGUCGUGGGGUGGAAAGCCUUGUGCGGCUGAGGAUGGGCCCGCGGCCUAUCAGCUUGUUGGUGGGGUGANGGCCUACCAAGGCGACGACGGGUAGCCGGCCUGAGAGGGCGACCGGCCACACUGGGACUGAGACACGGCCCAGACUCCUACGGGAGGCAGCAGUGGGGAAUCUUGCGCAAUGGGCGAAAGCCUGACGCAGCGACGCCGCGUGAGGGAUGACGGCCU
This 390-nucleotide ribosomal RNA is filed under the name uncultured bacterium. RNAcentral describes it as "bacterial SSU rRNA". It matches the Rfam family "Bacterial small subunit ribosomal RNA", at positions 28 to 417 of the family's 1533-position model. The record is from RNAcentral.